RNAcentral lists this ribosomal RNA (483 nucleotides) under uncultured bacterium. RNAcentral describes it as "partial 16S ribosomal RNA". It matches the Rfam family "Bacterial small subunit ribosomal RNA", at positions 28 to 507 of the family's 1533-position model. The record is from RNAcentral.
AUUGAACGCUGGCGGCAUGCUUUACACAUGCAAGUCGAACGGCAGCGCGGGCUUCGGCCUGGCGGCGAGUGGCGAACGGGUGAGUAAUACAUCGGAACGUGCCCAGUAGUGGGGGAUAGCUCGGCGAAAGCCGGAUUAAUACCGCAUACGACCUGAGGGUGAAAGCGGGGGAUCUUCGGACCUCGCGCUAUUGGAGCGGCCGAUGGCAGAUUAGCUAGUUGGUGGGGUAAAGGCCUACCAAGGCGACGAUCUGUAGCUGGUCUGAGAGGACGACCAGCCACCUGGGGACUGGGCACCGGCCCGGACUCUUCGGGGGGGAAGAGUUGGGAAUUUUGGGAAAAGGGGCGAAACCUUGUCCAAGAAAGGCGGGGUGUGUGAUGAGGGCUUCCGGGUGGUAAGCACUUUUGGCGGGAACGAAAAGGACUGUGCCAAUACCACGGUUCGAUGACGGUACCCGCAGAAUAAGCACCGGCUAACUACGUG